UGGGGAAUAUUGGACAAUGGGCGCAAGCCUGAUCCAGCCAUGCCGCGUGAGUGAUGAAGGCCCUAGGGUUGUAAAGCUCUUUCACCGGUGAAGAUAAUGACGGUAACCGGAGAAGAAGCCCCGGCUAACUUCGUGCCAGCAGCCGCGGUAAUACGAAGGGGGCUAGCGUUGUUCGGAUUUACUGGGCGUAAAGCGCACGUAGGCGGACUAUUAAGUCAGGGGUUAAAUCCCGGGGCUCAACCCCGGAACUGCCUUUGAUACUGGUAGUCUUGAGUUCGAGAGAGGUGAGUGGAAUUCCGCGUGUAGAGGUGAAAUUCGUAGAUAUUCGGAGGAACACCAGUGGCGAAGGCGGCUCACUGGCUCGAUACUGACGCUGAGGUGCGAAAGCGGGGGGAGCAAACAGG
Molecule: ribosomal RNA, 404 nt
Filed under: Actinomycetes bacterium
Lineage: Bacteria; Bacillati; Actinomycetota; Actinomycetes
Description: Actinobacteria bacterium partial 16S ribosomal RNA
Rfam family: Bacterial small subunit ribosomal RNA
Source: RNAcentral